Molecule: non-coding RNA, 4996 nt
Organism: Taeniopygia guttata (zebra finch)
Lineage: Eukaryota; Metazoa; Chordata; Aves; Passeriformes; Estrildidae
Source: RefSeq, a predicted model, not a curated record
CACUGACCGGGCCCGGCGCUGACUGGGCCGGCGCCGGCGGAGCAGCGGAGGCGGGCGGUGCCGCGGGGAAAGGGCCCCGCCGGGAACCGCUGCCGCGGCCUCAGGGCCGGGCCGCAGCCGCCCGCCCGCGCCCCGGGAGCUGCGGGGUCGGGCAGCCCCGCGCCGAGCCAGGGCAUUAAAAGCCUGCUGAGCCCUCGGGAGCUGGGGGUGACUCGGGGCCAGCAGGAGGGGGUCUGUAUACCGCAUCCAUAGAGGCGUGACCGCAAGCAGCGAGAACGCUGCCUGAAUUUAAGCAAUUUUGAAGCAGACCAUACUUGUCAGCUCCAAGGUUGCUAAACUACUACUAUGCUACACAAGACAAGGUCUCGCCUCAGGUGAGGAUACGGAUGCUGCCGGGAGCAUCCAGCGUGGAGUUGCGGGGCACCACUUGCUGUGCCUGGGGCUGCGCAGCAGGCAGGAGAGAUGUUAGCUCCCUGUCCACGUCGCCACAAGGAGAGACCUGGGCUCCCCACUUCCACAUCCAUCUAGUUUACCUGUCAGCCUAAGUGGGAGCUCUUUCCAGCUGUGCUGCUCCUGGCCGCUGUGUCUCUCCGGCUCCAGGUGCCGCUUACCUGUACCCAGCUCUGGCAUCUGGGCCAAAGUGCUGAGCAAGCCGCAAACUGCCCUGGCAUCGAACUGUGAUUGUGUAAACUUGAGGCCGGCAUAAAAUGGCACUGUCACACACAGCCGUGCCCAUCGGCUUCGCCAGCAGCCAGAUCAAGAGAAAUAAAUGGUUUCAAUGAAGAUUACUUAGUGCUUUGCAUAUUCAAAACAUUAUGCAAAUAUGAGCUUAUCUGUCCAUGUCCUUGUUGAGACAUAUACAUAAGAUGACUCAAUUUUAAGUAUUUGUACAAUGGCUGAAAUAUGUAUCUGGAAAUACAUCGUCACCAUCUUUAUUAAAGCUGUUUUUCAACCCAACUGUCAACACAAAUGCUCCAAAAUUGGCCUAGUUCAUUAAAAAAUAUGAUUGAAUAUGUAGGAAAUUUCAAUUAAUUAUUUAUGUGGAGAAAACAAACGCUUUUCACGCUGAACAGAUAGUUUCAACUUUGUAUUGUUCAGAGACCCGAGAAUAUGAAAUAGUCUAAUCCCAGGCACUGCUAUCUUUAUGCAAUAAAAGGAUACAUUCCCUUUUACAACACUCUGCAACAAGCAGGCUUGCCUCUUAUUUUUCCUCUUGGGUUCACAAAGAAUUUUUCCAGUAGGAUUCAGCUCUGCAGUUGUGUCUGGAAAACCUCAGUACACAUCUGUGUGAGCGCAGCAGCUCUCACCAGGUCCCGCUCCAAGGGCUUGUCCUCUUUCGGAGCGAAGCGAUGCCCAGGCACGUCCCAGCUCGGUCGGAAGCAGAGGAAGGCGACGGCGGCUGGAAGCUCGUGGUUUUCCAGGUGACAUAUUGCCACCUAGCAGCGCUUCGUGGAAGUAGCACAAGCCGGACCGGCAGAUCCAUCAACCAGUUCGCAUCAUUUUUGGUUUUAUUGCCUUGCGUCAUAUAGGGCAUGAGGAAAAGACUAGGAUGCAGUCAGCGUGAAGAAUGAGGACUGUAGGAAAAUGAACAGGUGGAUGGGAUCAUCUUUAAAAACAGACAUUAAAGACUAGACAGGCUGUAACUUUCAACAGGGUCAUGACUAGUCCCCUGGAUGUUUGACCAUACAAUAAGAGAGAAAAAGAAAGAGAAAAAAAUGUACAAUCCUGCAAAGUCACUUAUUCUCAUUCUUGCAAAUAAUUCCACUGAUUUCAAUAACACAUUCUCCUUGCGUUGCCGAAGCAGUACUGACCAAGGAGAGUCAGGUUACCACUUGAGUUAUACAGAAUGUGCCCAUUCCCUGUUGCUGACCCAGAAGCUGGCAACAAUGUACUGCCUAAAAGAGCAGUUCUUCACUCUUGGUUUCAAGGCUGCCAGACUGAAAUAUUGAAUUCCAAUAGAUACAGAGCUCCCGGAUGCUAUUUUUAUGAACUCCUUUUAGAGCAAUGGAACAGAUAGAUGACAGAUCUGGGCUUAGAUCUCAGGAAUUAUUGGAUACUAACCAACACAUUAACCCACAGUCAGUUCAUAAAGGGUCCCUUGUCUGUAAUUUUUUAGAGGCAAAUAUCAUCAGCUCUGUGUGGAAGUGUGGCAGGCUAAAGGAUGGUAUAACAUAUACUCCAAAGACUAGACCCACAUAAAAAGGUGGACACAUGCAUUCUAUUCCUAAAUUUCUGAAAUAUUUCUAAAAUUUAGUUUUAUUGAUCCAAAAUCAUGAUAUUCAGUUUCUCCUUACAGCCUCACUCUAGAGGCUUCCAAAUCCCAUUGGUGCCUGGCAGCUGUGAUUCAUGGGAAGAGACAAUUUAUAUCAGGUUAGCUAACAAGACUACCACCCCAGCUGUCUCUCCUGUCCUCACUGCACAUACCUGAAAUACUCCAGAGCUGCUGCAGCUUUCUAAAUGCAGCCCCAUGUGCCAAGUUACAUUUGGUUUGAUUUUGUUAGGCAGGGGCUGGCUGGGGACAGGGCAGUUACCGUGAGUACCUCAGUACUAGUAUGUCAGCCCAUCCUCCACUUCAUGCACCAAAGUUGCCAGUGUGUUAUUUCUCACUCUGGAUGUGUCUGUAAAGGGCUCAGCUCUUCCCAGGUAGCUGUGCACCCAUCCUAUCACAAUGUGUUGAUUUUAUCUUCUCUGUCCAUGUUGUUUAGGGAUCUCCUUCUGCAGAGUUGACUCUGAGCUCCAGCAAGGCAUGGCUGGAAGAUGAGGUAAAGAAACACCUGCCUCUGUAGCACAGCAUGGGAAGUGUCACCCAGGCCCUCUUCUGUCAAAACAAACCAUCUCAUUUCUCUGGGGAAGGUGCUCUGAUCAGGAGCUGUGGUGUAUUCUUGGGAAGUUGAGGGAAAAGAGCCCUGCCCCCCUUGCCAAAAGCUGUUUCUCUUGACAUAGCAUAAUGAAAUAUUCAUCAGGCCAGAAAAAGGGAGAGAGGUUCAGCAUGGCCACAGCUUGGUGCUUGCUCACACUCUCAGUGACCCAGCAAAUACUGGGUAUUUAAACAUUAAUAGCUACUUGAGUUAGUGUAUAAGUCUAUGCCCUUGGAAGUCUUUUCCACCCUAGCCUGUUCCAUGUUUCCAUGCCAUAUAAAGCAACUUGAAUAGGUAGGGUAAAGUAUGUUCUUGCUUUACAAAGUCUUCUCUCUGGUUACAGCUCACUGUGGGAAGAGUGGCCUCAGACCAACCAAAAGGGCCAUCAGGUCCCUGCCACGUGCUCUUACCUUUCACUUCACCAACACUGACAUUUGAUUAGACACUAAUUUUCUGAUGGAAAAUACAUACAGUACAAAAACAUGCUUGUGUGUGGUGUACCGUCCUACGCAAGAUAAGAUCUGAUUUCGCAAUACAAAAUUCCAGCCCACUUCCACUGGGGGGUGGUGGUCCCACAUUUCUCCCUUCUCCAUCCUGGGAGUGAGAACCAAGGGUGAGCCAGCUGAACCCACUAAACUGUCAGGAAACUGCUUUAGCACAGCAACAAGUUUCUCUUUUGAUCCCAGGGCUAAGGAGUUGAGCCAGCUUGGCUUGCUUCUGGUGGAGCCUGAGGGACACAAAGCAGGGGAAAGAAGAUGAAGAAAACUAGAGGAGGAAGACCAUCCUGUUUUAGCAGCAUUUAGUUAUCAAAUGGGCUCAAUUGUAUUAUUAGUUCUGACUCUCCCAAUGGCACUCAGGGCUUUGCCAGUUUGGGGAGAGGAAGUGGGUUAGAAAUGCAUGGCCCAGGGCAAAGCUGAGUGGGUUCCCUCUUUUGGGGGGGAAACCAGCCACUGGGAUGGCUAGGAUUGUACUGGAAAACUCCACCCUAAAUCUCUUUGAAGAUCUGGCUUUCUUUCCUUCAUUUCCUUAGGUCUCUGUUGCUAUUCCAUUCUAGAAAACUUUCAGAGAAAAAAAUAGCAUCUUUUUCUCCAAGAGCAUUUGAAUCACACCAAAGUAGGCCAGGUGAUAAUUGCACACCACAUUGUGGUGCUGCUUAAAUGUCAGAUGUUAAUUAAAGCCUUUCCUGGAAAUGGGACAUUAAUUAGGGCAAAUGCAGCCAUUCUUUAUGGGUACUGACUAACCAGUGAGUAAAAGCAUUAUUUAAACACUGGUAUUGAAACAGUUCAUUUUUAUUUGUCUGAGGUGUGUUUGUUAUUGAAAGAAAAACAACUGAAAAGAAUUAUAACUCCUUGAAUUUAUUGUUCUUUCUUUUAAAGACAGUUUUAAAUAAAUAUUUUGGCACACGAAUAUUCACGCACACACAGAUUGCAAUAGGAACAUUUCAGUAUUAGGUCCAGAUGUCUCUAGCAGUUGUAUAACCUUGGUAGGAAUGCUUAAAUGCUGUAGACAUUAAAUACAGCUCUGACCUGCAAAAACAGCCUGUUGUGGCACUUCACUUGUGUCUUUCUGUUCUUAAGAAUAUGGCACCAUCUACAUGAAUAAUGGUACAACAAAAUGUUUGCUAAGUCAGGGCCAAAAAGUAAGGCAUGUGUUUCCUUUGAAACUUUUCUGAGCAACUGUGAAUUGGGGAGAAUCAUAAUAUUGAUAAAGGAUAUAAGUGUUCAAGAUUUAAGAUAUAUAUCCAAGCUUUGCAGCUUAACCAUCUUGCUUUUUGUCUCUUUGGCCUGGAUUCAGCAAAGCAAUUAAGCCCCUAAAUAGCACCAUUGAUUUCAGUGACACAUAAGCAGUUGGUUGAAUCAGGCCCACUCUGCCUGCCAAACCACAUUCCUUCUUGCCUCCCAGUGCAUUAGAGCUUUUGGAAGAGCAGUUCCAGUUAUUAUCAAUAGCUGUAACAUAAAAUCCUCGUCUACACUGGCACUUUUGUGCCUAGAUACCUCUGCAGGAGGUCCAUGUAUGAGAAACUGUGCAAAGAUCUGGCAGUAGAUUUCAGUCUUUAGCAUUUCUGUGUUUCCACCAAGCACAUGGCUGAGCACACUGCUGCAGGCACCAUCCAUUCCAACACCUUCAUCCUCACAGCA